Molecule: long non-coding RNA, 627 nt
Organism: Otolemur garnettii (small-eared galago)
Lineage: Eukaryota; Metazoa; Chordata; Mammalia; Primates; Galagidae
Exons: 3
Source: RefSeq, a predicted model, not a curated record
UUAGAAUAUCUGUACUUUGCUGAUUCAUGGGUUCCUCCAAGGUCACAUACUAUAUUUGCACCAUGCUUAGGAAGGAGCCUACAGACCUAUAAUGGAUGACUUCUCUAUGACUAGGUGCUCUGUUUGAACCAUGCUUAGGAAGGAGCAUGCAGACAAAUAAUGAACGUUUGUGAUGACUUAAAGAUUCUGCCAAGGUCACAUGCUUUAUUUGCACCAUGCUUCAGAAGGAGCAUGCAAGAUAAUGUAAGUAGUCAACAUUCUUAUCUUAGUUUGGGUGGUUUGUUUAAGAGGAUUCAGUGUAUUAUAAAAAAGGUAUAUAAUACAAUAAAAGAUGGCCAAAUGUAUCUUAGUUAUAGAUAUAGGAAUGAUUCGAAGUAUUAUAUUGAAUACCCAAGGCUGUUCUUGGGUUUUUGAAAACCAAAGGUUUUUAAAUUAUUAGUGAAUUUAUGGACUAAUCAAUAGAGAAAGUACAAUGUAUGGAGAAAAAUAGGGCAAAUUCUGGAUCGAUGAUGAUUCCAUGUGGCAUAUUAGUUAUACGAUGAAUACAUCUGGGAUUCUGAGGUCCAUUACAAACGUCAAUUCCCUCUGUUUUAAAUGAUCCUAGAAGGAGAUGUCAGGGACGUAGAA